RNAcentral lists this ribosomal RNA (576 nucleotides) under Bacillus sp. CH370b_12T. Its description in RNAcentral is "bacterial SSU rRNA". It matches the Rfam family "Bacterial small subunit ribosomal RNA", at positions 63 to 618 of the family's 1533-position model. Lineage: Bacteria; Bacillati; Bacillota; Bacilli; Caryophanales; Bacillaceae. The record is from RNAcentral.
CGAGCGAAUGGAUUGAGAGCUUGCUCUCAAGAGGUUAGCGGCGGACGGGUGAGUAACACGUGGGUAACCUGCCCAUAAGACUGGGAUAACUCCGGGAAACCGGGGCUAAUACGCGGAUAACAUUUUGAACUGCAUGGUUCGAAAUUGAAAGGCGGCUUCGGCUGUCACUUAUGGAUGGACCCGCGUCGCAUUAGCUAGUUGGUGAGGUAACGGCUCACCAAGGCAACGAUGCGUAGCCGACCUGAGAGGGUGAUCGGCCACACUGGGACUGACACACGGCCCAGACUCCUACGGGAGGCAGCAGUAGGGAAUCUUCCGCAAUGGACGAAAGUCUGACGGAGCAACGCCGCGUGAGUGAUGAAGGCUUUCGGGUCGUAAAACUCUGUUGUUAGGGAAGAACAAGUGCUAGUUGAAUAAGCUGGCACCUUGACGGUACCUAACCAGAAAGCCACGGCUAACUACGUGCCAGCAGCCGCGGUAAUACGUAGGUGGCAAGCGUUAUCCGGAAUUAUUGCGCGUAAAGCGCGCGCAGGUGGUUUCUUAAGUCUGAUGUGAAAGCCCACGGCUCAACCGUGG